GAUAAGAACGCAGCGAAAUGCGAUAAGUAAUGCGAAUUGCAGAAUUCCAGUGAGUCAUCGAAUCUUUGAACGCACAUUGCGCCCUUUGGUAUUCCGAAGGGCAUGCCUGUUCGAGCGUCAUUAUCACCCCUCAAGCCCUCGGCUUGGUGUUGGACGGUUUGGUGGAGGCCCCCUCGGGGGUUCCUGCCCCUCCCAAAGACAAUGACGGCGGCCUCGUUGGACCCCCGGUACACUGAGUUCUUCACGGGACACGUAUCGGACACAUGGGUUUACGGGACACGGUCUGCCUCCCCUCAGGGAGAAUCUUUCUAAGGUUGACCUCGGAUCAGGUAGGGAUACCCGCUGAACUUAAGCAUAUCAAUAAGCGGAGGA
RNAcentral lists this unclassified non-coding RNA (372 nucleotides) under soil metagenome. RNAcentral describes it as "partial contains 5.8S ribosomal RNA, internal transcribed spacer 2, and large subunit ribosomal RNA". The stretch from base 4 to 120 matches the Rfam family "5.8S ribosomal RNA", at positions 39 to 154 of the family's 154-position model. The record is from RNAcentral.